AGGCUGGAGCCCUCUGCUUGGGAGCUGCUUUUUUCUGCCACAGUGUCAGUUGUCAUGCCCUAGCGGAGUGCCCGAGGGGAGGGGCAGGAGGCCCCUUGGAUGGGCUGGCACUGCGCCCCUGCUGCUGUCAGAGUGACUCAGAUCCCCUCCUGGCACCAGCCUGCUCAGGCAGUGCAAGCUGUUCCUUUGGCUCCUGGAGACUGGGCUGGUUCUUCACUUCUUUCUCCCCUAGGACUGAGGCCAGGGAGGAGGGGUGCAGAUUUCUGUGUUUCCACCCUUUUCUCUUCUCCCCGCACAGGGGUGCGAGAGGAGGAAGUGGAUGCUGCAGUGCUGGGCUCUGGGUUCAUUCCCUGUGAUUCCUCUGGGCUGCCCCGAGUCCUGCUCAGCACACACACAACAGGACACCAGGCGUGCUGGACAAAUGACCAGGCAGUGUGGUACUUGAAUGCAAGGGUUUCCUGAAAAGUUACCAUCAAAAACUGGGUCAGGUGGACAAAUGCAGAUGGAGCAUCAGCAGUGAUUUCCUCUGAGACUAAUGACAUGCCCUAAGAUUGUUCAGCACAGAGAGGACUUAAGCCACAGAAGGGAAAAGAAACGUUGAAAUCAGCCAAGGGAAGAAGCACAUAGGGUGGAGUCUAGGAAUAAUUCAAAAUGUGGAGAUCCAGCUGGGCACGGUGGCUCACACCUGUAAUCCCAGCACUUUGGGAGGCAGAGGCAUCUUCCUGGAGACAGGUAGGCACUGUGGAAUCAGCAGUGCGUAGAACAGUGAGGAAUUAGGGCUGAACCCAGCCCAGGUGGGACAAGCCCUGGCACCAGCCGACUGCAGUCUGAUGGAACUUCCCCUUCCUGCCCAGCAGAUGGCGAGCGUGUGCUGCUGGUGCCUCUUUCCAAAGGAUGUUGAAUUGUUUGACAGGUGUUCUUUACUUUAUGAAUGAAACCAGAGCAGCCCACCUUCCUGCAUCUCUACCACCAUGGCACCAUGCCCUGUGAAGGGUGAGCUGGAGUCAAAUACGUAGCAGGCAGCCAGGGUCAGUUUGUGGCCACUGCUGCCUCCUCUUCCUAUGGUCUCCUCACUGAGUGCCCCUUCCCUGUUGGGUUCAACAUGUCUAUGCUCCUGUAAGCCCUCAGCCUCCUCGUUCUCUUCCUCAACUUCUACCACCAGACACACCUGAGAGGCAAGCAAGAGAGGCUAAACUAGGAGCAGGACCCAGGGACUGAAACCAGCACAGCAUCCCCACAGAGAAUUGGGUGGAAGGCAGCAUGGCUUCCAGCUUACUGGUGCCGAGCAGAUUCCCCUGGGUCUCCAUUGUAUCCUCUGAAGGAAGGAGGAGGAUUGCCUUCUGUCCAGAUCUCAGGAUCAAACAAAUAGGUCCAACUUCCUGUGCUCACUUCAGUUAGAGCACUUCUCAUGUGACUUUGUAGCUUUGUGUGCAUCUCCUUCCUCUACUAGACCUAAGCCCCUCACUGGAAGGACUCUCUUAUUCUUGAUGUUCCCCACAUCUGGAAUUUCAAUAAACAUCUCAAUAAA
Molecule: small RNA, 1528 nt
Filed under: Pongo abelii (Sumatran orangutan)
Lineage: Eukaryota; Metazoa; Chordata; Mammalia; Primates; Hominidae
Description: sense overlapping
Source: RNAcentral